Molecule: ribosomal RNA, 318 nt
Filed under: Triticum aestivum (bread wheat)
Lineage: Eukaryota; Viridiplantae; Streptophyta; Magnoliopsida; Poales; Poaceae
Description: partial small subunit ribosomal RNA
Source: RNAcentral
AUGGGGCGGCACCGGAGGUACUGCGCCCACCCGCGGCGCGACCGCUGCUGCCGGAGGUACGCCUGCCACGCCGCCUCCGCCUCACGCGCGUGCUCCUCCUCCUUGCUCUCCCACUGCAUCGCCGAUGAUCCACCCGUCGCUGCCUCCAUGAGAAGAGAUAAAAUCAAAUCACAAGAUGGAUCUGAAGUUUACAACGAACUCGAUGGAUCGAUGGAUCAAUCUGCGAGUCCAGCCGUGGGUUUGCGCCCGAUUUUAUCGAUGCGUUUCGUGGGUGCUACGGUCCGAGUAGAACCGGGGGCCGACUACCAUACGGUGUAG